This 254-nucleotide ribosomal RNA is filed under the name uncultured bacterium. RNAcentral describes it as "partial 16S ribosomal RNA". It matches the Rfam family "Bacterial small subunit ribosomal RNA", at positions 524 to 776 of the family's 1533-position model. The record is from RNAcentral.
UACGUAGGGACCAAGCGUUGUUCGGAUUUACUGGGCGUAAAGGGCGCGUAGGCGGCAAAUUAAGUCAUCUGUGAAAUCUCCGAGCUUAACUCGGAACGGUCAGGUGAUACUGAUCUGCUAGAGUGCGGAAGGGGCAAUCGGAAUUCUUGGUGUAGCGGUGAAAUGCGUAGAUAUCAAGAGGAACACCUGAGGUGAAGACGGGUUGCUGAGCCGACACUGACGCUGACAGCGCGAAAGCCAGGGGAGCAAACGGG